This 370-nucleotide unclassified non-coding RNA is filed under the name uncultured Tomentella. Its description in RNAcentral is "sequence contains ITS1". The stretch from base 1 to 106 matches the Rfam family "5.8S ribosomal RNA", at positions 50 to 154 of the family's 154-position model. Lineage: Eukaryota; Fungi; Basidiomycota; Agaricomycetes; Thelephorales; Thelephoraceae. The record is from RNAcentral.
GAAAUGCGAUAAGUAAUGUGAAUUGCAGAAUUCAGUGAAUCAUCGAAUCUUUGAACGCACCUUGCGCCCUUUGGCCAUUCCGAAGGGCAUGCCUGUUUGAGUAUCAUGAACACCUCAACUCUUCAUGGUUUUCCUUGAUGAGCUUGGACUUUGGGGGUCUUGCUGGCCAGUGGUCGGCUCCCCUCAAAUGAAUCAGCUUGCCAGUGUUUGGUGGCAUCACGGGUGUGAUAACUAUCUACACUUGUGGUUUUCCACCAAGUAACCUUCAGCAAUGGGGGUUCACUGGAGCUCACAAAUGUCUCUCGUCAGUGGGGGACAGCCCUUUUGAACGUUUGAUCUCAAAUCAGGUAGGACUACCCGCUGAACUUAA